CCUACGGGAGGCAGCAGUGGGGAAUAUUGCACAAUGGGGGAAACCCUGAUGCAGCGACGCCGCGUGAGUGAAGAAGUAUUUCGGUACGUAAAGCUCUAUCAGAAGGGAAGAAAUAAAGUCCUUCGGACUUUGGACGGUACCUGACUAAGAAGCCCCGGCUAACUACGUGCCAGCAGCCGCGGUAAUACGUAGGGGGCAAGCGUUAUUCGGAUUUACUGGGUGUAAGGGGAGCGUAGACGGCAGCGCAAGUCUGGAGUGAAAUCCGAUGGCUUAACAAUGGAACUGUUUUUGAUACUGUGUAGCUGGAGUGCAGGAGAGGUAAGCGGAAUUCGUGGUGUAGCGGUGAAAUGCGUAGAUAUUAGGAGGAACACCAGUGGCGAAGGCGGCUUACUGGACUGUAACUGACGUUGAGGCUCGAAAGCGUGGGGAGCAAACAGGAUUAGAUACCCGGGUAGUC
Molecule: ribosomal RNA, 457 nt
Filed under: uncultured bacterium
Lineage: Bacteria
Description: partial 16S ribosomal RNA
Rfam family: Bacterial small subunit ribosomal RNA
Source: RNAcentral